CCUACGGGGGGCAGCAGCGAGGAAUAUUGGUCAAUGGGCGGGAGCCUGAACCAGCCAAGUCGCGUGAGGGAAGACGGUCCUACGGAUUGUAAACCUCUUUUGCCGGGGAGCAACGGGGUCCUUGCGAGGGCCCAAUGAGAGUACCCGGAGAAAAAGCAUCGGCUAACUCCGUGCCAGCAGCCGCGGUAAUACGGAGGAUGCGAGCGUUGUCCGGAUUUACUGGGUGUAAAGGGAGCGCAGGCGGCACGGCAAGCCUGAUGUGAAAGCCCGCGGCCCAACCGCGGGACUGCAUUGGGAACUACCGG
Molecule: ribosomal RNA, 305 nt
Filed under: uncultured bacterium
Lineage: Bacteria
Description: bacterial SSU rRNA
Rfam family: Bacterial small subunit ribosomal RNA
Source: RNAcentral